Molecule: long non-coding RNA, 1213 nt
Organism: Planococcus citri (citrus mealybug)
Lineage: Eukaryota; Metazoa; Arthropoda; Insecta; Hemiptera; Pseudococcidae
Exons: 2
Source: RefSeq, a predicted model, not a curated record
GGACCCCCCCCCAACGAACAGAAUGUAGUGAUAAGAAUAUUCCUUCAUGAAUCGUGAUAUCACCGGCGACAUCGAGUUGAUCAAGAAUCAAGAUCAAGAAAAUGUCCAUUCCAUGUUUUCUCCGAACUUCCGAACCUGUGAUUUGAUUGCUGGUUUGCUGCCCUGAAUCAAGCGAAAUUCAAGGAUUCAAUCAAGGAACAAUUUUGGUGCUCGAAGAAAGUGAUGGAUCGAAGAAAGUGACGAUGACAAAGAUUACGAAUGAAAGAUUCUUUUCAAUCAAUUGAAAAGUAAUCCUCCUGAAAAUAUUGCCAAGAAAUACCUUAUAUGUUGACCUUGCGAAUGUAUUCUGUGUAAUUCUAUCGAAUCACAUCGUAAAUUGGUAUGUUUCAGAUUCAGAUUUUGUGUUUAUCUAGUGUGUGUGUGUGUGGAUUUGUCGGUAUAAUCUGUCGAGUAUAUUAUUACCCUUAAUUUUGCACCAGCAAAUGUCCGGAUAUAAACGUAUGCGAAGGGAACAUCAAGCUGCUUUAGUGAUGAGAUGGAAACGUGAAUAUCGUUAUUAGAUGAAUCGACACCAAAGAGACAAACAAACGACCCAAGAUAUCUGCAUAGUUAUCGUUGGCAAUGAAAUUACUCGAAAAAGAUAGAAUUUUAGAAUUAGUUGAACAGUAUAAGUACACUUCAGAUCUCAGGUUCAUGUUUAGCUGCAUUUUUACUUGACUAAUGUGUUCAAUUCUAUUUGUUCUAGAUACGCUAAACAAGUUGGAGCAAAAGUAUAGCAAAACAGUAUCAGCAGAACUAAACCGUGAUAAAUAGAAUAGAAAAAUUAUUCUUAGAAUUGACUCGGCUCAUGGUACAAAAAGCCGAAGAGCAAAGUAAACUGAAAGAAAAGUCUAGAAAAUGCUGCGAUGGUCCAUCACAAUCAAUAUCAAUGUACUUUAUAUCCAACUGCGUAUUAUUACGUAGGAUCGAAUUUGCAUCCUGUUAGAAUAGCUAGAUUUGUGAUGUAUUGAUUUGUCUUAAGAAUAAGACUGGUUUAUAUUGAACUUAAUGUAUAUUAACAUAAAAGUUGCCUUUGUUCAACUUCUAGGUUUAAGUUUAAGGUUACAGUUAAAUUCAGUAUAACGCACCUUCAUCGUUGAUCGAGUCAUAAUACACGUAAUUGCUGAGCGUUGUACGCGCAUUGUUUCAAUUUUAAUACACAUUUUUUUUUCAA